UGGGGAAUAUUGCACAAUGGGCGCAAGCCUGAUGCAGCCAUGCCGCGUGAGUGAAGAAGGCCCUAGGGUUGUAAAGCUCUUUCGUCGGUGAAGAUAAUGACGGUAGCCGAAGAAGAAGCCCCGGCUAACUCCGUGCCAGCAGCCGCGGUAAUACGGAGGGAGCUAGCGUUGUUCGGAAUUACUGGGCGUAAAGCGCGCGUAGGCGGCCAUUCAAGUCAGAGGUGAAAGCCCGGGGCUCAACUCCGGAACUGCCUUUGAAACUAGAUGGCUAGAAUCCAGGAGAGGUGAGUGGAAUUCCGAGUGUAGAGGUGAAAUUCGUAGAUAUUCGGAAGAACACCAGUGGCGAAGGCGACUCACUGGACUGGUAUUGACGCUGAGGUGCGAAAGCGUGGGGAGCAAACAGGAUUAGAUACCCCUGUAGUCC
This 424-nucleotide ribosomal RNA is filed under the name uncultured prokaryote. Its description in RNAcentral is "bacterial SSU rRNA". It matches the Rfam family "Bacterial small subunit ribosomal RNA", at positions 355 to 796 of the family's 1533-position model. The record is from RNAcentral.